Molecule: ribosomal RNA, 598 nt
Filed under: uncultured bacterium
Lineage: Bacteria
Description: bacterial SSU rRNA
Rfam family: Bacterial small subunit ribosomal RNA
Source: RNAcentral
CCUACGGGAGGCAGCAGUGGGGAAUAUUGGGCAAUGGAGGAAACUCUGACCCAGCGACGCCGCGUGCGGGAUGAAGGCCUUCGGGUUGUAAACCGCUUUCAGCAGGGAAGAAGCGAAAGUGACGGUACCUGCAGAAGAAGCACCGGCUAACUAUGUGCCAGCAGCCGCGGUAAUACAUAGGGUGCAAGCGUUGUCCGGAAUUAUUGGGCGUAAAGAGCUCGUAGGUGGUUCGUCACGUCGGAUGUGAAAAUCUGGGGCUUAACCCCAGACCUGCAUUCGAUACGGGCGAGCUUGAGUAUGGUAGGGGAGUCUGGAAUUCCUGGUGUAGCGGUGGAAUGCGCAGAUAUCAGGAGGAACACCAAUGGCGAAGGCAGGACUCUGGGCCAUUACUGACACUGAGGAGCGAAAGCGUGGGGAGCGAACAGGAUUAGAUACCCUGGUAGUCCACGCCGUAAACGGUGGGCACUAGUUGUGGGGACCUUCCACGGUCUCUGCGACGCAGCUAACGCAUUAAGUGCCCCGCCGGGGAGUACGAUCGCAAGAUUAAAACUCAAAGAGUAGUGACGNGAGAGAGCGACGAGACACGACGGAGGUAGAG